Long non-coding RNA from Lolium rigidum, 859 nucleotides. RefSeq lists it as uncharacterized. The transcript has 3 exons. The record is from RefSeq and is a predicted model, not a curated record. NCBI's taxonomy places the organism in Eukaryota, Viridiplantae, Streptophyta, Magnoliopsida, Poales, Poaceae.
CCCCGUCCCCGUCUCGUCUCCGUCCUCGUCCCGUGCAAAUCCCACCGAGAGCUGCAACCCAUCCACAAACGGCGGCGACCGAGGGAGACGCCGGCGAGAGGGGCGGCGAGCGAGACCUGUGGGAGGGCUGCGAGAGCUACGAGAGGGGCGGAUAAAGGGGAGGUUCGUCCUCGGCGUCUCACCGGCGAAGCCAAUCAUGGAUCCCGCCUAGCCGCUCCACGUCGCCGCCAUCGUUCUUGCCAUCUGACCGGCGACGGCACCUCCCGCCAUACCUAUACUCCGAUCUGGCCCUAUCUCCGCUGAGAACACAACUUAGUGUCCCAUCGGCUGUCAGAUUCCAACAACGGCUGCUAGAUACCUUCAACUGAAUUAAUUAGUUGGUGUGGAUGGUGGCAUCGCUCAGUUUCUCCUGGUAUAAUUUAUGUCCGUCGAGGACAAUGAUGGCAGUGCACUAACUUGGCUUCGCAUUGAGAUGGCCAACUUACCAUGAUGGCAGGUUUUAUCUUCCAAAAGCCUCCAUGAGCCACUGCUUCCGUCUACCGUGGCGCUCUGAUGGCACCUGAGAUGUGUGCUCGCUUCAGAUGUUGGUCUAAGGACUGUGUUUGUUGUUGAUUGGUGCAACUUGUUAUAACAUUUUGUAGUGGCAUGGUUGGUCAACAUUGCCAUGUUCUUUUUUGUCGGUGAUGGGAAUUGUGACAACAUGAGUUCCUUUUCCAUGAGUCUAACUUUACUUAGUCUUUUAGCACAAACAUAUGUAUCAUUUAUCCUGGAUUUUCGGCUUUUAAUGCCACUGUCGCAUUGCACGUGAUACUCAGGGACAUGCGCAAAAAACUCAAAUAAGCUUCAGUUCAUAUUUCAA